This is an RNA transcript of Nomascus leucogenys (northern white-cheeked gibbon), 750 nucleotides long. It is a transcript of the gene named 40S ribosomal protein S10 pseudogene, with no coding region annotated. Lineage: Eukaryota; Metazoa; Chordata; Mammalia; Primates; Hylobatidae. The record is from RefSeq and is a predicted model, not a curated record. The transcript has a single exon.
UGGGCCAGGCAGAGACUGAAGACUGAACGAGUGUGGCCAGCAUUCCUCCUGCACCUGCCCGGAGCCGCCAGUCCCAGUCGUCAAUGUUCCCAGAAGUGGCUUUGCUGCUCCUGGACUCUUACUGGCCCCCCAUCGACCCUUGGACCAAUAACUGCCAUAAAAAUAAUCCUGAUCCUGCAGCCGCAGAGGUGUUGAUGCCUAAGAAGAACCGGAUUGCCAUUUCUGAACUCCUUUUUAAGGAGGGAGUCAUGGUGGCCAAGAAGGAUGUCCACAUGCCUAAGCACCCGGAGCUGGCAGACAAGAAUGUGCCCAACCUUCAUGUCAUGAAGGCCAUGCAGUCUCUCAAGUCCCGAGGCUACGUGAAGGAACAGUUUGCCUGGAGACAUUUCUACUGGUACCUUACCAAUGAGGGUAUCCAGUAUCUCCGUGAUUACCUUCAUCUGCCCCCGGAGAUUGUGCCUGCCACCCUACGCCGUAGCCAUCCGGAGACUGGCAGGCCUCGGCCUAAAGGUCUGGAGGGUGAGCGACCUGCGAGACUCACAAGAGGGGAAGCUGACAGGGAUACCUACAGACGGAGUGCUGUGCCACCUGGUGCCGACAAGAAAGCCGAGGCCGGGGCUGGGUCAGUAACCGAAUUCCAGUUUAGAGGCUGAUUUGGUCGUGGACGUGGUCAGCCACCUCAGUAAAAUUGGAGAGGAUUCUUUUGCAUUGAAUAAAACUUACAGCCAAAAAACCUUAAAAAAAAAAAAA